AACAGAUCCUAGACCAGGAGCCAGCAGGGCUCAUUGGGCUUUAAACUAGGAAAUGUGACUGGAAUAAGAAGAGUUUGGGUCAUUUGAAGCCUGGUAUAUUUCUACGUAUUAGAUGCAAUAUUCUCAACCAAACUUCAAGGACCUGACACACAGGACCAAGAGACAGGAUUACAACAGAUGAUGUCUUUCACAGUGAAGAGAACCACUGAUUGGCUUCCAACUUGGCCAUUUUCUUUUCCACAAAAUAUGCCACUAAGGAGUCUGAGUCAAAAAAACAAGGACUGGAUAAUACAUGCUGUGCUAACUGCUAGAGAGCUUAAGUAGUUAACUAUGAGAGCAGGGUGAUGCACCAAAAGCCUAUAACCCUGUAUUUUGUUCUCAACUAGUGCUGUUGAAAUAAAUAUAUAUGUGUAUACUUUGUUUUUUAAUUGAACUUACCCAGUUGUGACUACAAUAUUAUUUUUUUUUCUGAGACUACACGAUCCAAAAUGCCCAGGUAUGUAGAAUUCAUUCGAAUUAUGCAACCACCAUGGAAUCUCUAUAAACAUUAAUACAAUAUGUGAUAACUUUAUUCCUUUCCUUUCUUCCCUCUCCCCUUCCCCCUUUUCCCUUUUCUUCCUGGACAAGAUCUGCUUCUAUGCUUCAAUGCUCAGUCUAGUUUUGAAGCAGCUGAAGUGGUUGCUAAUAGCAGAACUUCUACUAUUUGAUCCAGCUUUGUUUUUGUAUAUAACUGUGGUGGUUUUACUCAGCUGAGCAUAUGAACUACAUCUGCUCUCUUACUUCCUCACCUCAAAGGGAAAAGGGGAGAAAAUAUGAUGAAAAGGGCUUCAAGGGUUGAGGUAAGGACAGGGAAAUCACUCAACACAUCACAGGCAAAACAGACUCAGUGUAGGUAGAUUAAUGUAACAUCCUAACAGACUAGAGUGGGGAGAACUAAAAACAGAAUAAGAACACCUUUCCCUCAUCCACUCUCUUCUACCUCCUCCCCCUGAGCAGCACAGGGGAAUGGGGAAUAUGUGCUGCAUUCAGUCCCUAACGCUUCAUCUCCACCAUUCCUUCACAGUCACACUCUUCCCCUGCUCCAGUGUGGGGUCCCUCCCACAGCAUGCCAUCCUUCCCAAACUGAUCCUGUGUGGCCUUCCCACAGGCAGCAGCUCUUC
This is a long non-coding RNA of Anas platyrhynchos (mallard), 1160 nucleotides long. RefSeq lists it as uncharacterized. The record is from RefSeq and is a predicted model, not a curated record. Lineage: Eukaryota; Metazoa; Chordata; Aves; Anseriformes; Anatidae.